Molecule: ribosomal RNA, 549 nt
Filed under: uncultured bacterium
Lineage: Bacteria
Description: bacterial SSU rRNA
Rfam family: Bacterial small subunit ribosomal RNA
Source: RNAcentral
UAGGGAAUCUUCCACAAUGGGCGCAAGCCUGAUGGAGCAACACCGCGUGAGUGAAGAAGGGUUUCGGCUCGUAAAGCUCUGUUGUUAAAGAAGAACACGUAUGAGAGUAACUGUUCAUACGUUGACGGUACUUAACCAGAAAGGGACGGCUAACUACGUGCCAGCAGCCGCGGUAAUACGUAGGUCCCGAGCGUUGUCCGGAUUUAUUGGGCGUAAAGCGAGCGCAGGCGGUUAGAAAAGUCUGAAGUGAAAGGCAGUGGCUCAACCAUUGUAGGCUUUGGAAACUGUUUAACUUGAGUGCAGAAGGGGAGAGUGGAAUUCCAUGUGUAGCGGUGAAAUGCGUAGAUAUAUGGAGGAACACCGGUGGCGAAAGCGGCUCUCUGGUCUGUAACUGACGCUGAGGCUCGAAAGCGUGGGGAGCGAACAGGAUUAGAUACCCUGGUAGUCCACGCCGUAAACGAUGAGUGCUAGGUGUUGGGUCCUUUCCGGGGCUCAGUGCCGCAGCUAACGCAUUAAGCACUCCGCCUGGGGAGUACGACCGCAAGGUUG